UUGCUUCUGCAGCAUAUCUACUGAAAUUGAAACGAUACAGAGAAAAUAAACAUUAUUCCUGUACACGGAUGACACUCAAACCCAUGAAGCAUUCCAUAUUUUU
Molecule: small nuclear RNA, 103 nt
Organism: Onychomys torridus (southern grasshopper mouse)
Lineage: Eukaryota; Metazoa; Chordata; Mammalia; Rodentia; Cricetidae
Source: RefSeq, a predicted model, not a curated record